Molecule: ribosomal RNA, 328 nt
Filed under: uncultured bacterium
Lineage: Bacteria
Description: bacterial SSU rRNA
Rfam family: Bacterial small subunit ribosomal RNA
Source: RNAcentral
GCGAGCGUUGUUCGGAAUUACUGGGCGUAAAGCGCGCGCAGGCGGAUGUGGCAAGUCGGAGUGAAAUCCCGGGGCUCAACCCCGUGGACUGCUCCCGAUACUGCUCGUCUAGGGACCGGUAGAGGCCGGUGGAAUUCCCGGUGUAGCGGUGGAAUGCGUAGAGAUCGGGAGGAACACCUGUGGCGAAGGCGGCCGGCUGGGCCGGAUCCGACGCUGAGGCGCGAAAGCGUGGGGAGCAAACAGGAUUAGAUACCCUGGUAGUCCACGCCGUAAACGAUGGGUGCUAGGUGCCGGUGGGAGCGACCCCUUCGGUGCCGCAGCUAACGCA